RNAcentral lists this long non-coding RNA (802 nucleotides) under Vulpes vulpes (red fox). RNAcentral describes it as "lncRNA (ENSVVUG00000012404.1)". The record is from RNAcentral. Lineage: Eukaryota; Metazoa; Chordata; Mammalia; Carnivora; Canidae.
GGCUGAACUGAAUAACAUCCCCUGGCCUCCCCACUACCCACUAGGUAUACACUUUCAGUUACACAGGUUCUAGAACGCGAUAGUAUAGUAUCGUAUCUACAGUUAACGAUACCAGAUUGUAUAGUUAAAAAUUUGUUAGGAGAGUCCAUCUCAUGUUAAAUAUUCCCACUACAAUAGAAACAAGUCUUCCUGAAGUUUAUCUCUAAGAAGAAAGUGUAGGUUGAAUUGUCCCAUACACAGUUGUAUCCCCUUGAGAGAAGCAAUUGUUCCUGGUCCCUGGGAGUCUCAGCUUCCUGAAUGGCCUCUGGCCUGAGAAGGAAUUCCUUGUGCCCAGAAUCUGACAUGAAUGUUCAAUAUUUCUGAAGAUAGGGAUUUGGAUCUAAAGAGAAGGAGAUGAAAAGCCCCAUGUAAGAACUGCAUUCUAAAAUAUAUAUGUGUGGAACCAAUCCAAAUGCAUCCUACAAGCUAAGGCUACAUUUAAAUUUAUCUCUGCAAAAUCUCCUAAUAGCCUUGAGAUCUGGAAUUAGCAGUCAUUGUGGUUCUACAUUCCAGAGGAAAGAUGCAAUACAGUUAGAUUAUUCUCUUGAAUGACGAGGAGAAAUGCUGAUUGUAUUGCUCUCUGAAGACACAAAAUGUUAUUGAACUGCUAAAGAACAAAGACAAUAAUGCUACUGAUUGUGACCAUAGCUUUAGUUAUUAUCAAAACUUGGCUGACCAGUGAUGGAGUGUUGGUGAGGGGUAAGCAUGGAAUCAGAAUUUGCUGAUCCUGGGUUUCCUUUUAGAUAAGGAGCUGUGCUUUGGA